RNA transcript from Arachis duranensis, 3363 nucleotides. RefSeq lists it as uncharacterized. The transcript has 5 exons. The record is from RefSeq and is a predicted model, not a curated record. Lineage: Eukaryota; Viridiplantae; Streptophyta; Magnoliopsida; Fabales; Fabaceae.
CUCUAAGCUCUCUCUCUCUCUCUCUCUCUCUCUCUCUCUCUCUCUCCGAGGUCAACAUGCCUCUUCGAGUGCUCUAUCACUCUCUGUCCAAGCUCACUCCCCUUCCUCCGUUGCCGUCACUUUCGAUUCCUCCGCCGCCGUCACUUGCCUUCCUCCUUCGCCGCCGGCAAUUCGCUCAACGUUUACGAGUCCGUAAACUUCAAUACAUAGCUGAAUUAGAAAGAAAUGUACAAGGUUUACAGGCAGAAGGAUUUGAAGUAUCUGCCGAGCUUGAAUUUCUUAACCAGCAGAAUCUCAUCCUGAGUAUGGAGAACAAAGCUCUCAAGCAACGGUUAGAAAGUUUAGCAUAAGGGCAGCUUAUCAAAUAUUGUAAGUUUCUACCAUUGAACAUAAGCUAAUAGGUCUUAUUGUAAGUUGGAAUUCGGAAGUCAUUUGUUUAUUGGUGUACCAAUCUAAAUACCUGCAUUUUGAGGGAGUGCUUAUAUAUUCACUCAUAUACAACUAGAAAAAUUGUUGGGAUGUUAUACUGCAUUUUGAUUAUCUAUUUUAUGCUGCAUCUUUAUUCAACUGGUGUUGCAUCGCCUGUCACCAAAUUGCACUCUCUCACUCUACAGGAUUGUGCAGGGAUUUCCAGUGUAUGCCCUUCUCUUUAUCUAGUUACUUGUUCACAUGGAAGCACAAAGUGAACUCCUGAAUAAUUCGAUUUUGCUUUGUCUUUUUGGAUUUUAUGAGUUUGGUUUUUAGAUCCUGCGUUUGGAAUAUGCAUAAACUUACCAUGCACUUUUCUGUUCUCAAAAGGCAUAGGUCUUGUUAUUGAAGUUUUGAUAAAGGAAAAAGAAAAUGGCUUCAAGAUUAGGUAGUGAUGAUGAUGCUGAUAAUAACAAAGGUAGCAUGUGGGCUUUGGAGCAAAAGCUGGAUCAGCUAAUGGAUGAAGAAGCUGCAAGGCUAAAAAAUAUGUAUAGAGAAAAAAGUCCUGCCUGUUGGAAAAGUGUUACUGGCUUGUCUUGCAGCUUUCAAAGAAUUGGCUUCUUGUACUCAAGGUCAAAUAGCAAUUGGAGCUUCUCUUUCUAGCAUCCACUCUCAAGCUCAUGAACUUGAAUUGCACAAUGAUGAUAAUGUUGUGAAUUAUAAUGAUCAGUGUCGCAGAAUGGAAAAAAUACCCCCCAUUACUAAGCUGUUGGAUGAAGUUGUUGAGAUCAAAUAACACACAAGGAUGAUUUGUCAACUGGUGUUGUUGAUGCUGUUUAUGUGUUAUCUCUUGUGUCUCUGCAGUUUUGCUUUGAAGGAGACAGGCAAGAUUUUUUUUCCUGUUUUUGCUUGCUGCUUCUAAUUACUUAUAUAUAUAGGUUUGUGAUCAUUCGCAAUUAAUUUUGUAAAAAACUUCUAUGCUCGUAUCGGUCGAAGUCUAAGUUAAUGUCACCCAAGAAUGUAGUAGUUGAAAAUCGAAAUAAUUAAAGCAUAGUUAUUUGAUAAUUGGUUUACAUUUUUUUUGUAAAGAAUGUGUCAUGAUGGUUUGCAGGAGAUAGUGUUUGGUUUAAUUAACUAAAGACUAAAUUUGGGUUGCAAUUGAAUUUUUUUUGUCAGUUGUGUGUAUGUUGAUAUCCAAAAGUUUGAAUUGUUGAAUUGAUAUCCAAAAGUUUCAUUAAUUUAAUUAUAAUGAAAAGUUGACGGAUCCAAUAAAGCAUGCAUACCUGACCAAGGUCCUCAGGAAAUACAGAAUUUGUUUCUCCAUGUACCUGUUUGUUUGAUAAAAUAAAAAUUUAAAAAUUAAAAAGAGGGAACUUUCCCUUCAAUUAUAUGGAACUGUCCCCUGUCAUGUGGGAUGCUUUGUACUGGGCUGCUUUGUACUUGGCUGCCCUUGUCAUGUGUAGAUCUUUACCAUUGAUUUGAUUUUUGUUUGCGAUCCAUGCUUGAGUCCGAUCUUGUUAAUCAAUGGUAAAGAUCCACAUGUAAGAUGCAACAUAUAUUUGCAUUAACUUUAAUAGUAAAAUUAUUGUGCUCAAUGCUCCUUUUGGCUUUUAAUAGCCUUUCACUAUUAAUAGCCUCAAAAUUUAGCCCACAUUUUAGCUUGGUUGAUAUGGAUAAUUAUUCUAUAAGCGGUGGUUUCUAUAUUAUAGUGAUAUCAACAAGCAUUUGCCUGGUCCACAUUUUGAUCCUCCACCAAAAGACAAAGUCAGAGAGAUGAUGAAGAUACUUUAUUGUUUCACAAUGAGAACAAACUAUGUUUUCUACUUAUAUGAAAUCUUCACCAUAUGAUUAUAUGAAGUGAAUCUGUGCUUUUUGUUAAAGACAUUUUAUGAAGUAUAUGCAUUUCUUGAUCAUUUUUUAGUUUUUGAUGUAUUCAUUUAUUUAACUAUGUUAAUGAUGGAGGGUUUAACCUGAAAAGGUACCUUUUUCCAUCUGCUAAAUUGUUUAUAAUAUAGAACUCUGGGUCCUUUGAGUAGUUGCUGAGUCAAUUAUGUUUGCAAGAGCUAUUCUACAUUGAGUUUAUGUGAACAAACUUCACUGAAUUGUGAUGGUUUAUGGAGAACCAUUUUUUUAUGCUUGCAAUCGAUAUGAGGCAACAAAACAAUAGGGAGUGGUAAGGGGCAAAGAAUGACUAUUGUUUGCACAUUCUUCCCCUCAAUUAUAUUUCAAAUAAUAUCUGCUUAUAAUCUAAAUUUUGUUCCAUGUAGUAUGAUGAAACCGAAAGAAGAGAAAUGGCAAAGAAUUCAUUGGAGAGGUACACGCAUUAUUAUGAGCGAUGGGCCAGCAAUCAAUCCAUACGCACUGCUUUAUACUUAUCAGUAUUCUAGGAAAAUGUUUUCUCACAUAUCUAAAUUCAUUGAUUAGUUUUAUAUUUGGAUAGUAUUCUUACUAUGUUAUAUGCUUUAUGAUUAAUUUUUUUUCUAUGGCAGUCGAGGCAAAAAGCUCUUGCAGAUCUACACCAGAUGCAAACUGUUCAUGUAUGUUACAUAACAUUUGCUAUAUUUUGCAUUAGCUUGUAUCUGUCUUUUGCAACUCUUUCAGAAAGAAUGGUAUAUAAGAUUGCACAUGUUUCUUUUUAGUAGUACAUGUUGCUGCUUUUGUAGUCCAUUGAUUAUUUCCGUGUCAAGAGUCUGUUUAAAAUUGAGGCUCUUAAACUGCUGCUCUCGAAUCUUCUUUCUUCUAAGUAGAGCUUAAUAUGAGGUUGCGAGGAUCUUGUUAAAGGAAUUGCUGGUGAUCUUGUAGAAGAGGUAUUCUGCUGAUAUUGCUGAAGCAAAAUACAACUAUUGGUUUACCUUCGCGCCUAAUCCUUUUGAAGUUGUAUUAAUUGGUCUACAUAGGUAUAGGCUUGUAGUAUUUUUUGUUAGAUUGUAACAUAAUUUAUUACUUUUCAAGAGA